UCUGUUUCUCACCCCUGCCAAUAUCACUCACUCACUCAUCCAUUCUCCCCCUCCCACGCCAUCGCAGCUUGAGGAGAACAGCCGGCUCAAGGAGGAGCUGAUGCGCAAGACCCGGGAGCUCGACAGAAUCAUACAGACAUAGUAGAAACUGGCAAAUGCAAGUGGAAGCUACCGAGGUGUGCAGUGGUGUUAAGAAGACUCAGGGAUAUGAUUAGUAUUAGGUUUUGAAAUGUAUCUGGAAGGUCAUCCCUUUGAUCUUCUGGUCAUAUAAGGGUGAGGUGUAAUGGUUAGUCAUCAACGCUUUGAUCUUCUGGUACGUAGAAACUAUCAAACUGCAGCAUUUGGCAAAGGUUUGUAGAGGGAAUAUUGACAAUACUAAUAUCUCUUUAGGUUUUAAGCAACACAUGGCUUAUUCAUCACGGCAAAACUAUCUAUAGAACUAAAAAAUGAUGCGGACAAUUGAAAAAUCAAAAGGUCAUGGAUAUCUUCAUCUUCUUGGUCUAUGCAUUUAUUAUUGUGGCAUUUAGAUGCUUAUUUCGUUGGUAUUCCAUACUUCACUUUGCACCAUCACUUGAUAGUUGAUACUACUAUAUACCACGAAAAAUGCAUCCCCAUUUUCCUUUUCAGCAAUGUUUAAUGUUUGUAUCUUAAUCCUUUUUAUGUCUUUUUUUAGAAGACAUGUGCAAUAUGUUUGACCAUAAUGAAACCAGGUCAAGGCCAUCCUCUAUUCACGGCAAAGUGCUCACUUACCUUUCACUUUCAUUGUAUAUCUGCAAAUGUUAGGCAUGGACAACCUAAAUAAUUUGAUUAUGAGUAUAUUCUGGUUUCUUCUGCUUUGGAUGAAAUUAUGAUUUUAUAGGCCCAAAUAAUUUUACUUCAAGAUUCUCAGCUGUCCAAUCACCCAUAAACUUUGAGGUGGGAUUUCUCUUAAUUUUGUUUUAGAGGUGUACUUAUUUAGAGCAUUUAUGUCUUCGUCUCACAUCAUACCUACAAGAAGUGAGUUUCUCUUAAUUACAUGAGAGUAAACAACAGAUGAUUGAAUACAUGGUUGAGUAUGGUUGUAAUCAAGCAGCUGUAGUUUACAUAUGAAGAUGCAAUUUUUCUUUUCAUGUACGAGAAAGAACACCAGCUAGAACUGGCAUGUCUCUUUCAUGAGAUGUUUAUAUGUUAUGUUCCUUUCCACUAACAUGAAAUUAAUUGUCUUGUCCUAAUUAUUUUGUACCAGGAAUUUCAGCUAGAACAUAGAAGUCAUUAAACCUUGAGGAAAGAAUUGUGUGUGUUGCAAUUGCAACUGGAUAAUACGUGCGAGCCGGAUGUAUCGUCAGCCUGCAAUACAUGAUAUGCACACGUGUCACCAUUGGUUCAGCAUUUAUUGGAUGGACAACAACAUAACCACAAUAAUAGAUCUAUCAGUUUCAGACCCCUCCUUGCUACUCUGCGUACUGUUUCUCAGUAACAACACCAAUGCCAUACAAAAGCAGUAGUAGAUUAAAUGGGAAGCGAUUGGAGGCAGGACUCUGGUAGCGGCCACCUUGGCUGGCAGCAGGUGCGCUUGUGCUGCCACUUGAGCCUGGCCCUGGCUGAUGUGGCGUCUUCACCGGUAUUCCACAGGGACACACGUAUACAGUGUAUUUUUGUUUCCAGUAGUAAUUGUUCAAGUGGAAGUCCGAUGAAGUGACAUAAAUGGUUGAGCAAUAUACAUGUGGCGCUACUACUGAAUUAGGAGAAAGAUAAAUUUACCGGGUGCAUUUAGAAAGGUGCCCUGUCUCAAAAUAGGGAAUGAUAUGUAGAGAAGUGUUUCCAUAAAUAGAGUGUCACAUUUUUGUUGCUAAAAUACAUAUAAGAACAGAUUCACUGUCACAUCUUUGUAGCAUGGAUGGUUGUUCAUUAACACAAGUGUAAUAUUAAUCAGAUUUUUAAUCUCCUAAAGCAAGAAGAGUAUUUCGGUGGAGCAUAAUUUAUGAAGGCAAGCUUAGUUGUGUGAUUAAAAAACCUGAAUUUUCUUAGCAAUUACUCCCUUUUUAAACUAAUAUAAGAUCAUUUAGAUCACUACUUUAGUGUUCUAAAAGAUCUUAUAUUAGUUUACAGAGGGAGUACUCAAUUAUUAUGUAACACUUGAUUUUCUCCAUCUACAACUGUGUUCUGUUUUUUUUACACUGGUGUACUGUUUUUCUUAUUAAUCUUUUGAAAAAAAUAGUCUUUAAUGAUUUGGAGCAGCCUGGUUGGGUGUGACGUUUCCGAGUGGCCAAGCAAGAGCUUUUUUUUUGUCUAAUACCUCUGCAGUGGCAACUUCUGGUACAAUCUGCAUCAACACUAGAACCACGUUCCCUACCAUGGAUGCUGUCGUGUCUCUCGCCGGCUCUAUCCUUGCCAUCGCCGGGAGGGUUGUGCAGGCCACUGCUUGCGCAACUACUCUGCAUGUGGACCAUGCCAUCGAGAUAGACAAAAAGGGAAACAUCGUCGACCACAAUGCUGAUGGGGCCCUCCCUGGUUGCCAACACCGCUGCUGCUGUCAUCGCCCUCCCCGCUGCCCCACUACACACUGCCAGAUAGGUCUGUAUGCUUCACCCUCGCUCCCUGCUUAUUGCACUCAGGAUGUGUUGGUGCCAUGCUUUGCCUAUUUGUAAUCUCCUUCUAUUCUGUUGUACAAUUCUUUUUGCUUAUGAUUUCUUAUUGUAGUGUGAAAUUUAAUUGCUUGGGUCGUCACUGCUACGAAAAUAUAUUUCUAUAUUUUAGGUCUGUUACUUUAAUCUCUCUUUCUCUCUGUUUAUAAUGAUAUGAACUUCCAUGUUGCUGCAAGAUUGAAAAGAUUCUUUUCGAACAUAAUCUGUGUCAUGAGGGCUGAGUUACGUGUGGCUAUGAUAUCUUUUAAUUUUGGUGAUCUGUGUUUUACAAAAGUUCCAAUAUAUAUAUAUAUAUAUAUUUAUUUAUUUUUCAUCCUUAUCAGAAUAAGGAUGCACCUUAAAUUAUAUGCAAUUUUCAAGACCAUCAUUUGGAAUUUUAUGCAGUUUCUUUUGAUGAAAAUAUUUAGUUUGUUGUAUAAUAAGGAUGCUUUUAGUUAAUAACCCUUCAAUACAUUGGAGUUUAUAAAAGGUUUCCUCAUAAGAACUUGACAGCUCCGUGGCAGUGCCUCAACUGCGUGUGAUAACUGGUAAAUAAGCUAUUCUCCAAAAUAAGAUUGUUGCUUAAUCUGCUUACCACCUUAUUUCAAAUCAUCUUGCUGUGGUCACGUGAAAGGAUGGUGUCCGUGAUCUAUAUCAUGGAAAAUAUUUCCUGGAAUGCCUCUAGGUACCUCCAUAUCUGCUCCCUCCCUACCCUCUCCAUUCUAUCCCCAUAUAUAUAUAAAGGUUCCAAGUGUAGUAAUCUGGCGUGACACGUACAUAAUCAGAGGAUGGGUCUAGGUUUAAUGCUCUAUUUUCUACUCACAACCAGUAGAUGAGAAACCAUGUAGAAGAUGUGGCAUUGAUGAAGUAGAUUUAAAGAUCAAGUUCUUUCUGGAAUUUUAAUUUGAGGAUUAACGCAGUUGAGUUGGUUAAUUAUCGUACUUGCAUCUCGCCUCCAUGCACGUAAUUUUAAUGGGGUUAGUAUGCUUUGUACAGACCCAAGAACAAUUCCUUAUAACGCUCACCAUUUGUGCACUUCUUUUGGUCUUGGACAAAGGGUAUGUGGAAGACUGGAUUUGAUAUUAUCCUGGAAUGGCAACUGUUGGUGUGCAACUGAAGAAUAUAUUUCAUGACCGAGAGAUGGUAUUUGGAGAAUCUUAGUUUUGAUAUGUACAUGAAUCUUCUUUUAUUUUGUCGCACAACUGAAGAUAUGGGACUAUUUGCUCUGUGUAUCUCUUAUAAAUAAGGAAAUGGACUAUAGGUAAAAAAAUUCUAUUUUAAUUAUAUUAUGUUGUA
This is a long non-coding RNA of Triticum dicoccoides, 3899 nucleotides long. RefSeq lists it as uncharacterized. The record is from RefSeq and is a predicted model, not a curated record. The transcript has 6 exons. NCBI's taxonomy places the organism in Eukaryota, Viridiplantae, Streptophyta, Magnoliopsida, Poales, Poaceae.